RNAcentral lists this ribosomal RNA (490 nucleotides) under uncultured bacterium. RNAcentral describes it as "partial 16S ribosomal RNA". It matches the Rfam family "Bacterial small subunit ribosomal RNA", at positions 30 to 507 of the family's 1533-position model. The record is from RNAcentral.
AUUGAACGCUGGCGGCAGGCCUAACACAUGCAAGUCGAACGGUAACAGAAAGCAGCUUGCUGCUUUGCUGACGAGUGGCGGACGGGUGAGUAAUGUCUGGGAAACUGCCUGAUGGAGGGGGAUAACUACUGGAAACGGUAGCUAAUACCGCAUAACGUCGCAAGACCAAAGAGGGGGACCUUCGGGCCUCUUGCCAUCGGAUGUGCCCAGAUGGGAUUAGCUAGUAGGUGGGGUAAAGGCUCACCUAGGCGACGAUCCCUAGCUGGUCUGAGAGGAUGACCAGCCACACUGGAACUGAGACACGGUCCAGACUCCUACGGGAGGCAGCAGUGGGGAAUAUUGCACAAUGGGCGCAAGCCUGAUGCAGCCAUGCCGCGUGUAUGAAGAAGGCCUUCGGGUUGUAAAGUACUUUCAGCGGGGAGGAAGGGAGUAAAGUUAAUACCUUUGCUCAUUGACGUUACCCGCAGUAGAAGCACCGGCUAACUCCGUG